AUUGAACGCUGGCGGCAUGCCUUACACAUGCAAGUCGAACGGCAGCACGGGAGCAAUCCUGGUGGCGAGUGGCGAACGGGUGAGUAAUAUAUCGGAACGUGCCCAGUCGUGGGGAUAACGUAGCGAAAGCUACGCUAAUACCGCAUACGAUCUAUGGAUGAAAGCGGGGGAUCGCAAGACCUCGCGCGAUUGGAGCGGCCGAUAUCAGAUUAGGUAGUUGGUGAGGUAAAGGCUCACCAAGCCGACGAUCUGUAGCUGGUCUGAGAGGACGACCAGCCACACUGGGACUGAGACACGGCCCAGACCUCCUACGGGAGCAGCAGUGGGAAUUUUGGACAAUGGGCGCAAGCCCUGAUCCAGCAAUGCCGCGUGCAGGAUG
RNAcentral lists this ribosomal RNA (379 nucleotides) under uncultured bacterium. RNAcentral describes it as "bacterial SSU rRNA". It matches the Rfam family "Bacterial small subunit ribosomal RNA", at positions 30 to 410 of the family's 1533-position model. The record is from RNAcentral.